RNAcentral lists this ribosomal RNA (800 nucleotides) under uncultured bacterium. RNAcentral describes it as "bacterial SSU rRNA". It matches the Rfam family "Bacterial small subunit ribosomal RNA", at positions 11 to 809 of the family's 1533-position model. The record is from RNAcentral.
GUUUGAUCAUGGCUCAGGAUGAACGCUGGCGGCGUGCCUAACACAUGCAAGUCGAACGAAGCGCUUACGGAUGAACCCUUCGGGGCGAUUUUGUUUGCGACUGAGUGGCGGACGGGUGAGUAACGCGUGGGGAACCUGCCUCUGCCAGGGGGAUAACAGUUAGAAAUGACUGCUAAUACCGCAUAAGCGCACGGGACCGCAUGGUUUUGUGUGAAAAGCCGAGACGGGCAGAGAUGGACCCGCGUCUGAUUAGGUAGUUGGUGAGGUAACGGCCCACCAAGCCGACGAUCAGUAGCCGACCUGAGAGGGUGACCGGCCACAUUGGGACUGAGACACGGCCCAAACUCCUACGGGAGGCAGCAGUGGGGAAUAUUGCACAAUGGGGGAAACCCUGAUGCAGCGACGCCGCGUGAAGGAAGAAGUAUUUCGGUACGUAAACUUCUAUCAGCAGGGAAGAAGAUGACGGUACCUGACUAAGAAGCUCCGGCUAAAUACGUGCCAGCAGCCGCGGUAAUACGUAUGGAGCAAGCGUUAUCCGGAUUUACUGGGUGUAAAGGGAGCGUAGGCGGCUGUGCAAGUCAGAGGUGAAAGCCCGCGGCUCAACUGCGGGACUGCCUUUGAAACUGUAUAGCUAGAUUGCAGGAGAGGUAAGUGGAAUUCCUAGUGUAGCGGUGAAAUGCGUAGAUAUUAGGAGGAACACCAGUGGCGAAGGCGGCUUACUGGACUGUAAAUGACGCUGAGGCUCGAAAGCGUGGGGAGCAAACAGGAUUAGAUACCCUGGUAGUCCACGCCGUAAACGA